GACGAACGCUGGCGGCGUGCUUAACACAUGCAAGUCGAACGGAAAGGCCCUGCUUUUGUGGGGUGCUCGAGUGGCGAACGGGUGAGUAACACGUGAGUAACCUGCCCUUGACUUUGGGAUAACUUCAGGAAACUGGGGCUAAUACCGGAUAGGAGCUCCUGCUGCAUGGUGGGGGUUGGAAAGUUUCGGCGGUUGGGGAUGGACUCGCGGCUUAUCAGCUUGUUGGUGGGGUAGUGGCUUACCAAGGCUUUGACGGGUAGCCGGCCUGAGAGGGUGACCGGCCACAUUGGGACUGAGAUACGGCCCAGACUCCUACGGGAGGCAGCAGUGGGGAAUAUUGCACAAUGGGCGGAAGCCUGAUGCAGCAACGCCGCGUGCGGGAUGACGGCCUUCGGGUUGUAAACCGCUUUCGCCUGUGACGAAGCGUGAGUGACGGUAAUGGGUAAAGAAGCACCGGCUAACUACGUGCCAGCAGCCGCGGUGAUACGUAGGGUGCGAGCGUUGUCCGGAUUUAUUGGGCGUAAAGGGCUCGUAGGUGGUUGAUCGCGUCGGAAGUGUAAUCUUGGGGCUUAACCCUGAGCGUGCUUUCGAUACGGGUUGACUUGAGGAAGGUAGGGGAGAAUGGAAUUCCUGGUGGAGCGGUGGAAUGCGCAGAUAUCAGGAGGAACACCAGUGGCGAAGGCGGUUCUCUGGGCCUUUCCUGACGCUGAGGAGCGAAAGCGUGGGGAGCGAACAGGCUUAGAUACCCUGGUAGUCCACGCUGUAAACGGUGGGUACUAGGUGUGGGGUCCAUUCCACGGGUUCCGUGCCGUAGCUAACGCUUUAAGUACCCCGCCUGGGGAGUACGGCCGCAAGGCUAAAACUCAAAGGAAUUGACGGGGCCCCGCACAAGCGGCGGAGCAUGCGGAUUAAUUCGAUGCAACGCGUAGAACCUUACCUGGGUUUGACAUGGAUCGGGAGUGCUCAGAGAUGGGUGUGCCUCUUUUGGGGUCGGUUCACAGGUGGUGCAUGGCUGUCGUCAGCUCGUGUCGUGAGAUGUUGGGUUAAGUCCCGCAACGAGCGCAACCCUUGUUCACUGCUGCCAGCACGUUAUGGUGGGGACUCAGUGGAGACCGCCGGGGUCAACUCGGAGGAAGGUGGGGAUGACGUCAAGUCAUCAUGCCCCUUAUGUCCAGGGCUUCACGCAUGCUACAAUGGCUGGUACAGAGAGUGGCGAGCCUGUGAGGGUGAGCGAAUCCCGGAAAGCCGGUCUCAGUUCGGAUUGGGGUCUGCAACUCGACCUCAUGAAGUCGGAGUCGCUAGUAAUCGCAGAUCAGCAACGCUGCGGUGAAUACGUUCCCGGGGCU
Molecule: ribosomal RNA, 1346 nt
Filed under: uncultured bacterium
Lineage: Bacteria
Description: partial 16S ribosomal RNA
Rfam family: Bacterial small subunit ribosomal RNA
Source: RNAcentral